UGUAGGAUGUGGUUAGCCCAUUAAACCAUGGGUCAAGGUCCUUCAACACAUGACUACCUUGAAGAGCCACACAUAAAUCCAACCACUUUAAUACCCCACUUGGUGACAAGCCUACGUUACCAGGCUCGGCGAUUUAAAUAAUUCUUGCAACUGCAUAUGAAUAUAAUAAUAAGCUUGUAUCGUAUCGGUGUGGGAUAAGAUAAUUAGUGGAGAAAUCAAAAAAUGGCAGAGGCGACUCCUGUAGUACUGGGACUCAUCAAAGAGCUAAGAAGCCACGAGGUUGCUAUUGCCGAACUCAAUCAUCUUUCUUCAUCCAGGGCUGUCUAUCAGAAAAAUGGGAACAUAUUUUUCCAAACGACUAUCCAGAAAGCUACAGCAUCUGAACAGAAACAACUUGAUUUGGCCAAAGCUAAGCUUGAAAAGCUGAAUUCUCCUUGAAGCAACUUGGCUGUACCAUGGCUUUGCUAGACCCAAACCUUUAUGGCAGGAAAAGCUCUGCAUUUAUAUGACAAGGCAUUCAACUGAGAUCAACCCCUUUUAGUGGUGUAAUAAUAGAAGUUAGAAUGGUCAUUAGAUUUCUAUAGAGCUAUAUCUUUACUGCAUUAACUAAACUAUCUGGGGCCUGAGCAUUCAUUGUCACACUUUUUAAUCAUUGAAUUUUCUUAUUGUCAUGGUUA
This is a long non-coding RNA of Quercus lobata, 677 nucleotides long. RefSeq lists it as uncharacterized. The record is from RefSeq and is a predicted model, not a curated record. The transcript has 3 exons. Lineage: Eukaryota; Viridiplantae; Streptophyta; Magnoliopsida; Fagales; Fagaceae.